This is a long non-coding RNA of Leopardus geoffroyi (Geoffroy's cat), 1911 nucleotides long. RefSeq lists it as uncharacterized. The record is from RefSeq and is a predicted model, not a curated record. The transcript is spliced from 6 exons. NCBI's taxonomy places the organism in Eukaryota, Metazoa, Chordata, Mammalia, Carnivora, Felidae.
CAGGAGGGGAGAUAUGUCCCUGGGCAGGGCCCAGCCUGAGUCCGCGUGGAAUUGGUGAACCCCGACAGAGCCAGCCUUUCCUGUUGGCGACUCAUGCAGAGGUCACUGUGGCCCAUCUUCCACCCCGUGGCCAGAAGGACCCAUUAAAACCCGUUAAAAGUGGGAUCAUGAUGCCUCCUCGCUGAAGCCUCCAGCGGUUCCCAUGUCACUCAGGAUAAAAGAAGCAGCAACAGUUCAGACGCUGGAACCUUCUACAGGAGAAUGACAGACCUUGUUAGCCACUACCAGCUUCAGAAUCAGCUAACUCAGCACAAAGCAAGGAUCCCUGACUGGGAAGGAUCCAGGAAAGAGAGAUCAGAGUGACCUCACCAGAAAUGUGGACACUUGGAAGGACACCAGAGACACAGAGAAGAGGAGGCUGGAGGUCCUCAAGGCACCCAGCUCCUGGCCCCGGAUGUGCAGGACUCUUUCUAGAAAGGCUCCCUCCCAGCCGUGGGACUUGACCAUCUUCAUGUUUCUGAUGACGCAGCUGCACUGUUCUAGAAGCUGAGACUGCAUCAGUGCAUAUUCCCUGCUGCCGGGAAGCUUUCAGUCCGAAGAGAGAGAGGAGCCAGGUGCAUCUGGCAAACGGGCAGGCCAAGUUGCCGAACAGCAAUCGCGCCACCCAGUGGCCAAGUGGAGAAGUGCCCGGAAGGCAAACCAGCCCACCGCCAGGAUUGGGAAAGUACUCAAAGAAAGGUGAAAGGAAGGUUAAGCUUUCUCUAGCAAAAAUAGUAUCAUUUGGAGAAAAAUGCUACAGAUGCUAACUGUGGCAACUUCAAUGUCUGCCCCCCCCCCAGCCGGGCCAGGAUUUCAGGGUGACCUUCUGAUGUUAGGGACCGUCUGCCAAAAGACCAGGAGGGUGAUGGGUGGGUCUUCUGCAGAUUUGCUGCGGUCAGGGGUCUGCCCCUUUAAUGGCUCUGCAUUUUCCCAGGAGUCCUUCGUCCCCCUCCCUCUUCCUACGUGUGCCCACUGCAUGCUGGGCCCUGGCUACAAGGCGGCCAGUCAGAAAGGGUGCUGGCCCCGUGUCCCGUAGGGUAGGGGCAGUAGGCGUAGAUCUACAGUCACCGUGACGACACCCACUGGAUGGUACUUGGGACCACUCUAUGCUCGCUCACUGUCGCUAUGCCGCUGAUACACCUGCCAGGGGCCUGUGAACUGUGGCACACCUGCCAGAGGUAGACGAAGCAGAUGAUGAUCCAGAUAAUCGGCAGCCACAGCCCGUUAAGGUAGAUGACGCUCUCGGUCAGCCGCUGCACGUCCACGGACACCAGGUUGACCACGUCACCCACCGUGCUGGCUUUUCUGGAGGCGCUGGACAGGACCAGGACCUGGGCGGGGCGGGAGGAUGGAGACCUGAGCCAGAGGGAAGGACGGGACGAGUGGGGUGGAGGAGGGCAGGGAGGCCCAAAGCACAGACAGAGCAGGAGCACAGCCGCCUGGCCGGUCUGGGGUCUAAGCUGGUCUGCCCUUGCUGGCAGAGGCAGGUCUCUUCCCUAUCUAGCCUCAGUUCACUCGUCUGUAAAGCGGGCUAGUGAAUCUCCUGAGCCAACCUCCCAGGGCCGUCGUGAGAAUUUGGAGAGAUGACCAAAGAAAAAAAUCCUCUGACAUCCCUAAAACACUGUUGUGGUAAGUUAGUAGCACAAUAUAUAAAACCCUUGGGUUCAUGAUGAUACUGGGGAUCGUUUCCUGAAUUCCAACCUGCCCCAGGCACUGUGCUAAAUGAACAGGGUCACCGUUUUCUGUGAUGGGGCCCAACCCGCAACCAGAUGGACUAGGUGCUGCCAUAUCUCAUUCAGUCUACAAUGCUAUGGACGAAUCGCUCUGUUUUUGUGUCACUAAGGGCAAAAAAAGUAAAUGCGAUUAAAUUAA